Bufo gargarizans (Asiatic toad) is the source of this 501-nucleotide long non-coding RNA. RefSeq lists it as uncharacterized. The transcript has 5 exons. Lineage: Eukaryota; Metazoa; Chordata; Amphibia; Anura; Bufonidae. The record is from RefSeq and is a predicted model, not a curated record.
AAAUUCUGAAGGAUCAUCUUCUCACCUUAAUCAUCUCCUGAAGAUCAUUCACUGACAGGUGCAAUUUUACAACUUCUGCAGUGAUGGCCACCAUGACGACUCUUCUGUUAUUUUGCUCAGUUAUUACUUUAGGCUUCCUUUACGGUGUACAAGGUCAUCGUUGCCCUGUUGGAGCUGCAAUGUCAGAGUGUUCUGGUUGUUCGUCUAGAUGUCCAGUAGUACCUAAUCAAGUUUGUACCCUAAUGUGUACAUGGGGCUGUAAAUGUACACGGGCUGGAUAUGUUAUAGGUCCUGAUAACAAAUGUAUCCCAAAGGAAGACUGUCCAAAGGUGAAAUAAUAAGAUGAAGGCAAGAAACCUCUGAUCAAAGGAAGACGACAUUGACGCCUCAGAGAAGAUUUGUUCCUAGUCCUGAGAAAAAAUAUGGAUAAAAUAAAAUUGUAACUAAAAUUGUGUAACAAUUCUAACUAUUAUACCCAAUAAACCAUUGAUAGCAUCGUAA